RNAcentral lists this non-coding RNA (21 nucleotides) under Caenorhabditis elegans. The record is from RNAcentral. Lineage: Eukaryota; Metazoa; Nematoda; Chromadorea; Rhabditida; Rhabditidae.
UCUGUGCGCAGCAUCUUCAAA